GGGGGAUUAGUUUAGUGGUAGAACGAAGGUCUCCAAAACCUUUGGUGUAGGUUCGAUUCCUACAUCCCCCG
RNAcentral lists this transfer RNA (71 nucleotides) under bacterium. RNAcentral's name for it is "tRNA-Trp". It matches the Rfam family "tRNA". From Rfam's summary of the family: Transfer RNA (tRNA) molecules are approximately 80 nucleotides in length. The record is from RNAcentral.